This 465-nucleotide ribosomal RNA is filed under the name uncultured bacterium. Its description in RNAcentral is "partial 16S ribosomal RNA". It matches the Rfam family "Bacterial small subunit ribosomal RNA", at positions 338 to 795 of the family's 1533-position model. The record is from RNAcentral.
CCUACGGGGGGCAGCAGUGGGGAAUAUUGCGCAAUGGGCGAAAGCCUGACGCAGCGACGCCGCGUGAGGGAUGAAGGUCUUCGGAUCGUAAACCUCUGUCAGCAGGGAAGAACGGUCACGGUGCUAAUCAGCAGUGAAUUGACGGUACCUACAAAGGAAGCACCGGCUAACUCCGUGCCAGCAGCCGCGGUAAUGCGGAGGGGUCGAGCGUUAAUCGGAAUUACUGGGCGUAAAGCGCGCGUAGGCGGUAUGUCAAGUAAACGGUGAAAGCCCCGCGCUCAACGGUGGAACUGCCUUGGAAACUGGCAAACUGGAGUGUGUAAGAGGAGAGUGGAAUUCCAGGUGUAGGAGUGAAAUCCGUAGAUAUCUGGAGGAACAUCAGUGGCGAAGGCGACUAUCUGGCACAUAACUGACGCUGAGGAGCGAAAGCGUGGGUAGCAAACAGGAUUAGAUACCCUGGUAGUC